UUAACGCAUUGAACGUCCCAACGGAGGAAAAAAAAACUUAUUGCAAUGUUGUUAAUGUUAAAGACACUUCUUAGCUAAAUAAGAUAAAAUAAUUAUUUCGUUCCUGGGGUUUUACAAAGUUAAUUAUCUCGUCCUUGUAUUUUUAUAUAUUAGUUAUUUAGUCCCUGACAUUUAAUUUUGUCUCAAUGAUAUAUCCUUCCGUCUGAAAUCAACUCAUUAUUCCAUUGAGAAAGGGUAGAAAUUCAAAAAUACCCUUAAGCUCCUCCUCCUAUCUCUCGCUUCCACACUUGAAGCUUAUCUCCCACUUUCGUAGCAGCUGUAGGUGCCAAACUCAAACCCGCCGAUUUUAUAGCCAUUGGUCUGUAAAUCACCAAUGCUCCAUGGUGCAAGUUCUUCGAAUACGACCGAUUCGAUUCGAUUCAACGUUCGCUGUCUCAAGGCUAAAGAUUCUGCCGAGAGAUUCGCCAUUGUUCAGCUCACGUCUAUCCUUUUCAAUGGGACUCUCAUCGGCACUCCAUUGCUCACUCGCUGUUUCUCUCUUUCACACUGCCGCUCGCAUCUUCUUAGGGCCGGCUGUCUCCGACAGAAAGAUUCCAUUGUCAUUGGAUACGUUGAUGACAAUAUAAAUAAGUGACGAUCCAUCCAGAUUAGUAUCUAGAUCCGCAAGAGACAAGUGCCAUUAGUCCAAAAGAAGGUACUUGAACGAGUUAACUCAUUUAACGCACUGCCAAUAUGGUAAUCCCUCAAUCCCUCAAAUCUGUUACAGUACUCUUAUCAACAAUUUAAAUCGAAUUAGCACAUAAAUACUAUUUCCACUCCUCAAGGCAUCAACUGGUUAGGUAACACUGUCUUCCUUCCCAAACUCGAUAGUAAUGCGAUUACCGUAAUUGCGCCGACCGUAUUGUAUUGAGUCAAAGCAAGAGAGAUACGGUUUCAUAAAUUGGGAACCGUGUCCACCUCCCGAAUUGAAAAACGAAGAAAAAACGAAAGAAGAGCAACAAUGGAGAAUUAAUUUGUUGGUACGGGGGGCUAUGGUGAUUACACUAUUUGGUCUUUUUGUGAUUAUUAUAGGUUAAUUUUAUUUAGGGUAUUGUUGUCAAUUAAAUAUAUAACUCCCUCUUUUUUUUUCACUUUUUAUCGUUUUUUAACGGAUAAAAAUAGUUGAUUUAAGACGGAUAGAUCUAUUAUUAAGACAAAAUCAAAUAUUAGGGAUUAAAUAACUAAUAUAGAAAAAAUAUGAAGACGAAAUAAUUAAUUUUAUAAAAUUCGAGGGAUGAAGUAAUUAUUUUCCCGCUAAAUAAUGUUGGAAAAUGAGAUAUUAUUAUUUUAAUGCUUUUGUAACGUGACAAACUAAGUUUUUAUAAUGGAA
Molecule: long non-coding RNA, 1369 nt
Filed under: Jatropha curcas
Lineage: Eukaryota; Viridiplantae; Streptophyta; Magnoliopsida; Malpighiales; Euphorbiaceae
Description: long non-coding RNA (JCUR_LNC001812)
Source: RNAcentral